This 3314-nucleotide long non-coding RNA is filed under the name Zea mays. RNAcentral's name for it is "long non-coding RNA (ZMAY_LNC004423)". Lineage: Eukaryota; Viridiplantae; Streptophyta; Magnoliopsida; Poales; Poaceae. The record is from RNAcentral.
AGAUUCAGUUUGAGGUGGUCACGUGUACUACAUUAGGGAUCAUAUUGUCGUCCAACAUACACAUAGCCAGCUAAGAGUAUUUAUUCAGCAGGGUUAUGAACUCCACUCCCAAAUCUCCAUUGUCCAAGCAAAGCAAACAAUAAGCCAAUAUGCUACACACUUGACUUUCUGAAGCGCUAACUGAAGCUAUCCUUCCUUCCAGGGGAAGGUACACAACGCUACUAAGAUUGUACAGAAAGGUGAAUACACAGAGGACCAAACCAAGGCUCCAAAACCUGUAGACUCGUCUAUGCUUUUUCUAUGGAACAUGUCCUACAACAACCGACCGACCGACCGACACCAUGUUGCUAGCGUUUUCUGUACAAAACUGCUGCCAUAUCUAGCUCAGGGGCUGAAAUCUCUUCAGCUGUGAGUUUUGAAUCAUCCAUCAUUCACGACUGCCUGCCCUGAUUAGCUGACGAUGCACCGUUGGGAGACGGAGGGGUUGACGGUUGGCCGCUCCUGUGGGGCGCAACUCCGUUCUGAUUCUCUUUGUGACUCGAGUCGGAGUUCUCUUCCUUGUCAUCUGACUUUGAGUUGAGAAACCGACCUCCAGCUCCCCUGGCCCUUUUCAAGGCAUGCUGAUGACGUGACUCAUGGAGAUAGGGCUGCACAGCAUAGAUGUAGCCGAGUCAGUUUUUUUUUUUUACUUCAGAUGACUUAACAGUUCAACCACAGAAAGUUGAAGGAAACAAGCAAUCGAGUUAUUCUAAUUUCAGAUGAUACCAAAGAGUAAGGAACAUGUGCGAUCAACUUGCAGUGAGAUCAUCUAAGCUUGGCAGAAGUUUAUAGGAUUUUCUAAGUCGGUAGCUGCAUCUUUGUACCAGUCUUCCAUUUUUGAGAAAUAAUCAUGGUACUAACAAGUUCAACUCUCUCUAGCUUAAAGUAGCAUACAGAUAAAAACAGAAAGCAUUUCAGCUUACUCGAUGUUGCAACUUUGUCAAUGUGUGGCACCCAAUUUACGUUCAUAAAUCCUUUACUGCUUUUGUGAUAAGCAACGCCCGUGAAGGCAUUGAAAAAAAACGUGGCAUGUCGAAAUUUCAGAUAUCAGAGAACAUCGAACAACAACAACAACAACAACAACAAAGCCUUUUUGUCCCAAGCACGUUGGGGUAGGCUAGAGAUGAAACCCCGUAUGAAAACCUCAGAGCUCAACCCCCAAAGAACAGAAAAGGGAAACAAAGGCAAAGGAGAACCGAAAACAACGAAACGGGGAAACACAUAAAAGAGAUAAAACCCACAAGGACCAGCAAGAUCUAAAAUGGACACAAGAAAAGGUCAAACGAUUAAGGAGGAAAAGCGAAACUAUCAAUCAGGGUUCUGGCACGUGAAUUGCACACUUCCACCCCUUCCUAUCUGCGGCGAGCUCUUUGUCAAUAUUCCACUCCUUCAGGUCUCUCUUCACAGCCUCUGUCCACGUCAAAGUUGGUCGACCUCUACCUCUCUUCACAUUUUCGGGACGCCUAAUUAUUCCGAUAUGCACUGGUGCCUCUUCAGGUCUUCGUUGGAUAUGUCCAAACCAUCUCAAGCGAUGUUGCAUAAGCUUCUCCUCAAUUGGCGCCACUCCUACUCUCUCUCGUAUAUCAUCAUUCCGGACUCGAUCUCUCCUUGUGUGGCCACAUAUCCAGCGCAACAUACGCAUCUCUGCCACACUUAGUUGUUGGACAUGUCGUCUUUUAGUGGGCCAACAUUCUGCUCCAUACAACAUAGCCGGCCGGAUUGCUGUCCUGUAGAAUUUGUCUUUUAGUUUGCGUGGCACCCGGUGGUCGCAUAAGACACCCGCAGCUUGUCGCCACUUCAACCAUCCGGCUUUAAUUCUAUGACUGACAUCCUCAUCGAUGUCUCCCUCCUUUUGAAGCAUUGAUCCUAAGUAACGAAAAGUGUCUUUCUUGGGUACCACUUGCCCAUCAAGACUAACAUCGCCAUCCUCAUACCCCAUGGCACUGAAAUCACACUUCAUAUACUCUGUUUUAGACCUACUAAGCCUAAAACCUUUUGCUUCCAGCGUCUGCCUCCACAAUUCCAACUUUUGAGAAACACCACUCCUACUCUCCUCAAUAAGUACCACAUCAUCGGCAAAAAGCAUACACCACGGUAAAACUCCUUGUAUGUCCCUUGUGACCUCAUCUAUCACCAAAGCGAAAAGAUAAGGGCUCAAAGCCGACCCUUGAUGUAGUCCUAUGUUAAUUGGAAAGUCAUCGGUGUCUCCAUCACUUGUUCGGACACUUGUCACAACAUUAGUGUACAUAUCUUUAAUAAGAUUAAUGUACUUUGUUGCUACUUUGUGUUUUUCCAAGGCCCACCACAUUACACUCCUAGGUACUUUGUCAUAAGCCUUCUCCAAGUCUAUGAAGACCAUAUGCAGGUCUUUCUUUUGUUCUCUGAAUCUCUCCAUAAGUUGUCUUAGUAAGAAAAUGGCCUCCAUAGUUGAUCUCCCGGGCAUGAAACCAAACUGAUUUUGGGUCACGCUCGUCAUCUUUCGCAGGCGGUGUUCAAUGACUCUCUCCCAUAGCUUCAUUGUAUGGCUCAUGAGCUUAAUUCCACGGUAAUUAGUACAACUUUGAACAUCUCCUUUGUUCUUGAAGAUUGGUACUAAUGUACUCCGCCGCCACUCGUCGGGCAUUCUGUUUGCCCGAAAGAUGGUGUUGAAAAGCUUAGUCAGCCAUACUAUCGCUAUGUCUCCAAGACAUCUCCAUACCUCGAUAGGGAUACCAUCAGGGCCCAUCGCCUUUCCUACCUUCAUCCUUUUUAGCGCCUCCUUAACUUCAUAUUCUUGUAUCCUUCGUACAAAACCCCUGUUGUUGUCAUCGAAUGGUUCGUCCAAUUCUAUUGUAGCACUCUCAUUCCCUCCAUUGAACAAUUUGUUGAAGUACUCCUUCCAUCUGUUCUUGAUCUCUUCACUCUUCACUAAUAGUUGGUUUGCUUCGUCCUUGAUGCAUUUGACUUGGUUGACAUCCCUUGUCUUCCUUUCACGAAUCUUCCUUUCAGAGAACAUCGAAAUUAAAAUAAAAUUCACCAGCAGAUUUACAGUACAACGUGAGGCAGAUCGAUCUUGAAGUGGAAGUAGGGAAGGUAGAUUGGAGAAAUUCGCUUGGUUAUUUGCUCUAGCAUCAUGGGCAGAAAAAAAGCUAAUUAACAUUUCCAAUUCAUAUGGCAAUGCAGAACAUGGUUACAAAGAUUUACCUUACGCCCCUUGAUAAGCUUUCGUUCUGAUUCAGCUUUAGCCCGAGAUUGACGCCGUCUUAAUAUGGCAUUGUAUUGCUUUGCAUUUACAU